UUUUUUCUUUCUUCUUGU
This 18-nucleotide small RNA is filed under the name Arabidopsis thaliana (thale cress). RNAcentral's name for it is "ATSL122470". The record is from RNAcentral. Lineage: Eukaryota; Viridiplantae; Streptophyta; Magnoliopsida; Brassicales; Brassicaceae.